RNAcentral lists this unclassified non-coding RNA (329 nucleotides) under soil metagenome. Its description in RNAcentral is "partial contains 5.8S ribosomal RNA, internal transcribed spacer 2, and large subunit ribosomal RNA". The stretch from base 1 to 120 matches the Rfam family "5.8S ribosomal RNA", at positions 35 to 154 of the family's 154-position model. The record is from RNAcentral.
GAUGAAGAACGUAGCGAAAUGCGAUUAGUAAUGUGAAUUGCAGAAUUCAGUGAAUCAUCGAAUCUUUGAACGCACAUUGCGCCCCUUGGUAUUCCGAGGGGCAUGCCUAUUCGAGCGUCAUUAUCACCCCUCAAGCCUAGCUUGGUGUUGAGGCCUGCUGUCAAGGCAGCCUCUAAAAUCAGUGGCAGUGCUGUCAGGCUCUAAGCGUAGUAAAUCUAAUCGCUAUAGACACCUGGUGGACACUCGCCAGAACCCCCCCAUUUUUUAAUGAUUGACCUCGGAUUAGGUAGGGAUACCCGCUGAACUUAAGCAUAUCAAUAAGCGGAGGA